This 72-nucleotide transfer RNA is filed under the name Promineifilum sp. (SeqCode). RNAcentral's name for it is "tRNA-Lys". It matches the Rfam family "tRNA". Rfam says of the family: Transfer RNA (tRNA) molecules are approximately 80 nucleotides in length. Their secondary structure includes four short double-helical elements and three loops (D, anti-codon, and T loops). The record is from RNAcentral. Lineage: Bacteria; Bacillati; Chloroflexota; Ardenticatenia; Promineifilales (SeqCode); Promineifilaceae (SeqCode).
GGCCCCGUAGCUCAACGGCAGAGCAGUUGACUCUUAAUCAAUUGGUUAUAGGUUCAAAUCCUAUCGGGGUCA